RNAcentral lists this ribosomal RNA (523 nucleotides) under uncultured bacterium. RNAcentral describes it as "partial 16S ribosomal RNA". It matches the Rfam family "Bacterial small subunit ribosomal RNA", at positions 355 to 891 of the family's 1533-position model. The record is from RNAcentral.
UGGGGAAUAUUGCACAAUGGGCGAAAGCCUGAUGCAGCAACGCCGCGUGAGUGAUGAAGGCCUUCGGGUUGUAAAGCUCUGUCUUUUGGGACGAUAAUGACGGUACCAAAGGAGGAAGCCACGGCUAACUACGUGCCAGCAGCCGCGGUAAUACGUAGGUGGCAAGCGUUGUCCGGAUUUACUGGGCGUAAAGGAUGCGUAGGCGGAUUUUUAAGUGAGAUGUGAAAACCCUAGCUUAACUUGGGGGCUGCAUUUCAUACUGGAAAUCUAGAGUGCGGGAGAGGAGAAUGGAAUUCCUAGUGUAGCGGUGAAAUGCGUAGAGAUUAGGAAGAACACCAGUGGCGAAGGCGAUUCUCUGGACCGUAACUGACGCUGAGGCAUGAAAGCGUGGGUAGCAAACAGGAUUAGAUACCCUGGUAGUCCACGCCGUAAACGAUGAGUACUAGGUGUAGGAGGUAUCGACCCCCUUCUGUGCCGCAGUUAAACACAAUUAAGUACUCCGCCUGGGGAAGUACGAUCGCAA